Molecule: ribosomal RNA, 497 nt
Filed under: uncultured bacterium
Lineage: Bacteria
Description: partial 16S ribosomal RNA
Rfam family: Bacterial small subunit ribosomal RNA
Source: RNAcentral
GACGAACGCUGGCGGCGUGCCUAAUACAUGCAAGUUGAGCGCUGAAGGUUGGUUCUUGUCCCAACUGGAUGAGCAGCGCACGGGUGAGUAACGCGUGGGGAAUCUGCCUUUGAGCGGGGGACAACAUUUGGAAACGAAUGCUAAUACCGCAUAAAAACUUUAAACACAAGUUUUAAGUUUGAAAGAUGCAAUUGCAUCACUCAAAGAUGAUCCCGCGUUGUAUUAGCUAGUUGGUGAGGUAAAGGCUCACCAAGGCGGUGAUACAUAGCCGACCUGAGAGGGUGAUCGGCCACAUUGGGACGGAGACACGGCCCAAACUCCUACGGGAGGCAGCAGUAGGGAAUCGUGGGCAAUGGACGAAAGUCUGACCGAGCAACGCCGCGUGAGUGAAGAAGGUUUUCGGAUCGUAAAACUCUGUUGGUAGAGAAGAACGUUGGUGAGAGUGGAAAGCUCAUCAAGUGACGGUAACUACCCAGAAAGGGACGGCUAACUACGUG